This 587-nucleotide ribosomal RNA is filed under the name uncultured bacterium. RNAcentral's name for it is "bacterial SSU rRNA". It matches the Rfam family "Bacterial small subunit ribosomal RNA", at positions 338 to 916 of the family's 1533-position model. The record is from RNAcentral.
CCUACGGGAGGCAGCAGUGGGGAAUAUUGGACAAUGGGGGCAACCCUGAUCCAGCGAUGCCGCGUGUGUGAAGAAGGCCUGAGGGUUGUAAAGCACUUUCGGUGGGGAGGAGGUUUGUGUAGGUUAAGAGCUAAUAUGAAUGACGCUACCCACAGAAGAAGCACCGGCCAACUCCGUGCCAGCAGCCGCGGUAAUGCGGAGGGUGCGAGCGUUAAUCGGAAUUACUGGGCGUAAAGGGUGCGUAGGUGGUUUAAUAAGUUAGCUGUGAAAACUCUGGGCUUAACCUGGAGGUGUCAGCUAAGACUGUUAGGCUAGAGUAUAGGAGAGGGUAGUGGAAUUUCCGGUGUAGCGGUGAAAUGCGUAGAUAUCGGAAGGAACACCGGUGGCGAAGGCGGCUACCUGGCCUGAUACUGACACUGAGGCACGAAAGCGUGGGGAGCAAACGGGAUUAGAUACCCUGGUAGUCCACGCUGUAAACGAUGUCAACUAGCUGUUAGUUACAAAAAGUGAUUAGUGGCGCAGCAAACGCGAUAAGUUGACCGCCUGGGGAGUACGGUCGCAAGAUUAAAACUCAAAGGAAUUGACGG